This 1356-nucleotide ribosomal RNA is filed under the name uncultured bacterium. RNAcentral describes it as "bacterial SSU rRNA". It matches the Rfam family "Bacterial small subunit ribosomal RNA", at positions 18 to 1395 of the family's 1533-position model. The record is from RNAcentral.
CCUGGCUCAGGACGAACGCUGGCGGCGCGCCUAACACAUGCAAGUCGAACGAGAGAUGAGGAGCUUGCUCUUCAAAUCGAGUGGCGAACGGGUGAGUAACGCGUGAGGAACCUGCCUCAAAGAGGGGGACAACAGUUGGAAACGACUGCUAAUACCGCAUAAGCCCACGGCUCGGCAUCGAGCAGAGGGAAAAGGAGCAAUCCGCUUUGAGAUGGCCUCGCGUCCGAUUAGCUGGUUGGUGAGGUAACGGCCCACCAAGGCGACGAUCGGUAGCCGGACUGAGAGGUUGAACGGCCACAUUGGGACUGAGACACGGCCCAGACUCCUACGGGAGGCAGCAGUGGGGAAUAUUGCACAAUGGGGGAAACCCUGAUGCAGCGACGCCGCGUGGAGGAAGAAGGUCUUCGGAUUGUAAACUCCUGUUGUUGAGGAAGAUAAUGACGGUACUCAACAAGGAAGUGACGGCUAACUACGUGCCAGCAGCCGCGGUAAAACGUAGGUCACAAGCGUUGUCCGGAAUUACUGGGUGUAAAGGGAGCGCAGGCGGGAGAACAAGUUGGAAGUGAAAUCCAUGGGCUCAACCCAUGAACUGCUUUCAAAACUGUUUUUCUUGAGUAGUGCAGAGGUAGGCGGAAUUCCCGGUGUAGCGGUGGAAUGCGUAGAUAUCGGGAGGAACACCAGUGGCGAAGGCGGCCUACUGGGCACCAACUGACGCUGAGGCUCGAAAGUGUGGGUAGCAAACAGGAUUAGAUACCCUGGUAGUCCACACCGUAAACGAUGAUUACUAGGUGUUGGAGGAUUGACCCCUUCAGUGCCGCAGUUAACACAAUAAGUAAUCCACCUGGGGAGUACGACCGCAAGGUUGAAACUCAAAGGAAUUGACGGGGGCCCGCACAAGCAGUGGAGUAUGUGGUUUAAUUCGACGCAACGCGAAGAACCUUACCAAGUCUUGACAUCCCUUGACGAACAUAGAAAUAUGUUUUCUCUUCGGAGCAAGGAGACAGGUGGUGCAUGGUUGUCGUCAGCUCGUGUCGUGAGAUGUUGGGUUAAGUCCCGCAACGAGCGCAACCCUUAUGGUCAGUUACUACGCAAGAGGACUCUGGCCAGACUGCCGUUGACAAAACGGAGGAAGGUGGGGAUGACGUCAAAUCAUCAUGCCCUUUAUGACUUGGGCUACACACGUACUACAAUGGCGUUAAACAAAGAGAAGCAAGACCGCGAGGUGGAGCAAAACUCAGAAACAACGUCCCAGUUCGGACUGCAGGCUGCAACUCGCCUGCACGAAGUCGGAAUUGCUAGUAAUCGUGGAUCAGCAUGCCACGGUGAAUACGUUCCCGGGCCUUGUACACACCGCCC